Molecule: unclassified non-coding RNA, 378 nt
Filed under: plant metagenome
Description: partial contains 5.8S ribosomal RNA, internal transcribed spacer 2, and large subunit ribosomal RNA
Rfam family: 5.8S ribosomal RNA (bases 1-105)
Source: RNAcentral
GAAAUGCGAUAAGUAAUGUGAAUUGCAGAAUUCAGUGAAUCAUCGAAUCUUUGAACGCACCUUGCGCUCCUUGGUAUUCCUUGGAGCAUGCCUGUUUGAGUAUCAUGAAAUCUUCAAAGUAAAUCUUUUGUUAACUCAAUUGGUUUCUACUUUGGUAUUGGAGGUCUUUGCAGCUUCACACCUGCUCCUCUUUGUUCAUUAGCUGGAUCUCAGUGUUAUGCUUGGUUCCACUCGGCGUGAUAAGUUAUCUAUCGCUGAGGACACUGUAAAAGGUGGCCAAGGUAAAUGCAGAUGAACCGCUUCUAAUAGUCCAUUGACUUGGACAAUACUUUUAUGAUCUGAUCUCACAUCAGGUAGGACUACCCGCUCAACUUAAGC